GUGCCAGCCGCCGCGGUAAUACGAACCGUCCAAACGUUAUUCGGAAUCACUGGGCUUAAAGGGUGCGUAGGCGGCCCGAAAAGUUGGGUGUGAAAGCCCUCGGCUUAACCGAGGAAUUGCGCCCAAAACUGCCGGGCUCGAGGGAGACAGAGGUGAGCGGAACUUAGGGUGGAGCGGUGAAAUGCGUUGAUAUCCUAAGGAACACCAGUAGCGUAAGCGGCUCACUGGGUCUCUUCUGACGCUGAGGCACGAAAGCUAGGGGAGCGAAGAGGAUUAGAUACCCUCGUAGUCCUAGCCUUAAACGAUGAGCACUGGUUUGGAGGGCCCUCCAUAGCCUUCCAGACGUAGCGAAAGUGUUAAGUGCUCCGCCUGGGGAGUAUGGUCGCAAGGCUGAA
RNAcentral lists this ribosomal RNA (395 nucleotides) under uncultured bacterium. RNAcentral's name for it is "bacterial SSU rRNA". It matches the Rfam family "Bacterial small subunit ribosomal RNA", at positions 505 to 898 of the family's 1533-position model. The record is from RNAcentral.